Molecule: non-coding RNA, 153 nt
Organism: Prunus mume (Japanese apricot)
Lineage: Eukaryota; Viridiplantae; Streptophyta; Magnoliopsida; Rosales; Rosaceae
Source: RefSeq, a predicted model, not a curated record
GGAGAAGAAGAUUGCACAAAGGAGGAAUGUAGGCCCAGUGUGCAAAGUUUGAAAAAUAUGAUUCCAAAUUAUGGGUAUGCCAUUUCCUUUUUGAAGACCAAGCUCAAGUGGGAUGAAAUUAGUUAUUUGGAAAGUAGAUCCCAAAUGAUUGUA